This 423-nucleotide ribosomal RNA is filed under the name Zoophagus insidians. RNAcentral's name for it is "SSU rRNA". It matches the Rfam family "Eukaryotic small subunit ribosomal RNA", at positions 618 to 1028 of the family's 1831-position model. Lineage: Eukaryota; Fungi; Zoopagomycota; Zoopagomycetes; Zoopagales; Zoopagaceae. The record is from RNAcentral.
GUUAAAAAGCUCGUAGUCGAAUUUCAGGUUUGACUAGAUGGUCUGCCCUUUCGGGGGUCAGCACUGUCUCUUAGUUUUACCUUUAACCCUUCUAGCUUGGACCAGGUUGUGCUUAACGGUGCAGCUUGGAGCCUCCAGGUUAGGACUUUUACCUUGAAAAAAUUAGAGUGUUCAAAGCGGGUGUCAAGCUCGAAUAGAUUAGCAUGGAAUAAUAGAAUAAGACCUUGGUCUUAUUUUGUUGGUUUCUAAGGCCACGGUAAUGAUUAACAGGAACAGUUGGGGGCAUUCGUAUUGCUGCGUCAGAGGUGAAAUUCUUGGAUUGCAGCAAGACGAACUAAUGCGAAAGCAUCUGCCAAGGAUGUUUUCAUUGAUCAAGAACGAAAGUUAGGGGAUCAAAGACGAUCAGAUACCGUCGUAGUCAAA